RNAcentral lists this ribosomal RNA (253 nucleotides) under uncultured bacterium. RNAcentral's name for it is "partial 16S ribosomal RNA". It matches the Rfam family "Bacterial small subunit ribosomal RNA", at positions 524 to 776 of the family's 1533-position model. The record is from RNAcentral.
UACGUAGGGUCCGAGCGUUGUCCGGAAUUACUGGGCGUAAAGCGCACGUAGGCGGCUUUGUAAGUUAGAGGUGAAAGCCCGGAGCUCAACUCCGGAAUUGCCUUUAAGACUGCAUCGCUCGAAUCCAGGAGAGGUGAGUGGAAUUCCGAGUGUAGAGGUGAAAUUCGUAGAUAUUCGGAAGAACACCAGUGGCGAAGGCGGCUCACUGGACUGGUAUUGACGCUGAGGUGCGAAAGCGUGGGGAGCAAACAGG